RNAcentral lists this long non-coding RNA (581 nucleotides) under Ictidomys tridecemlineatus (thirteen-lined ground squirrel). RNAcentral's name for it is "lncRNA (ENSSTOG00000029666.1)". Lineage: Eukaryota; Metazoa; Chordata; Mammalia; Rodentia; Sciuridae. The record is from RNAcentral.
GUUGAAGUCACUGAGUUUGGGGUUAUUUGUUAUAGCCGCCACCAAAAACCUAAUACAGACUUCACGGAGCCUGGAGAAAAGUAUGUCAUCCAUCUGCAGCGGAGGAUCUGUGAUUAGAUGCUCUUCAUACAUAAUGUGUUUCUGGUCCAACAAUUUUUGAACAGAUCGAAGAUGAUUCCUGUAGCAAUAUCACUUUGCAAUUGCUUCCCUGAGUAGGAGAGAAAAGGGUGGGAUUCCAUCUCGGACUCAAAACAUGCAUAAUUCAUGGUUGGGAGAUCUUCCCAUCAGAAUCCAUGAGCGUCCCAAGUCUGACCCUAAGAUGGAGCUUCCAGAAACCCUUCUGGUUCCAACGUGGCAGGAGAUCUUGAAAGGGAGCCUUUUCCUGCUUCACCCACAUCCCAGGAGAACUCUUCGGACGAGCGAGGGGAAAUCCAGCCCUCAGAUCCCCCCAUGGAUUGAAGCCUAGUCCAGCCUCUGAAAGAGAGCAGGUACCAUCCCCAGGCCCAGCCAUGGUUCCCAGGUGUAUUCCAAAGCAUCGUCCGCCUGGCUGCCCAGACAGCCUGCUUCAACCAAAACAAAGG